Non-coding RNA from Parelaphostrongylus tenuis, 74 nucleotides. The record is from the annotation of a GenBank genome assembly. Lineage: Eukaryota; Metazoa; Nematoda; Chromadorea; Rhabditida; Metastrongylidae.
GCGUUGGUAGUACAACGGAUUAGAACACGCGCUUCCGGGUAGAGUGAAUGUGGGUUCGAGUUCCGCCCAACGCA